RNAcentral lists this ribosomal RNA (923 nucleotides) under uncultured Gemmatimonas sp. Its description in RNAcentral is "bacterial SSU rRNA". It matches the Rfam family "Bacterial small subunit ribosomal RNA", at positions 56 to 988 of the family's 1533-position model. Lineage: Bacteria; Pseudomonadati; Gemmatimonadota; Gemmatimonadia; Gemmatimonadales; Gemmatimonadaceae. The record is from RNAcentral.
UGCAAGUCAAGGGGGCCCAGCAAUGGGCAACCGGCGAACGGGUGCGUAACACGUGAGCAACCUACCGAAAUGUGGGGGAUAGCCGGCCUAACGGCCGAGUAAUACCGCAUACGCUCUCGAUGAGGCAUUUCAUUGAGAGGAAACCUACGGGACAUUUCGAGGGGCUCGCGGCCUAUCAGCUAGUUGGAGAGGUAACGGCUCACCAAGGCAACGACGGGUAGCUGGUCUGAGAGGAUGGCCAGCCACAUUGGGACUGAAAUACGGCCCAGACUCCUACCGGAGGCAGCAGUGGGGAAUCUUGCUCAAUGGCCUAACGGCUGACGCAGCGACGCCGCGUGUAGGAUGAAGCUCUUCGGAGUGUAAACUACUGUUGCCCGGGACGAAUAGCUCGAUUAAUCGAGCCUGACGGUACCGGGUGAGGAAGCACCGGCUAACUCCGUGCCAGCAGCCGCGGUAAUACGGGGGGUGCGAGCGUUGUCCGGAAUCACUGGGCGUAAAGGGCGCGUAUGUGGUUUGAUAAGGGUGUGGUGAAAGCCCGGAGCUCAACUCCGGGUCUGCCGUGCCGACUGUCAAACUCGAGGACUGUAGAGGCAGACGGAAUUCCGGGUGUAGCGGUGGAAUGCGUAGAGAUCCGGAGGAAGACCGGUGGCGAAGGCGGUCUGCUGGGCAGUUUCUGACACUGAGGCGCGACAGCGUGGGGAGCAAACAGGAUUAGAUACCCUGGUAGUCCACGCCGUAAACGAUGGGUACUAGGUGCCUGGGGGAGCGACCCUCUGGGUGCCGGCUCUAACGCAGGAAGUACCCCGCCUGGGGAGUACUACCGCAAGGUUGAAACUCAAAGGAAUUGACGGGGGCCCACACAAGCGGUGGAGCAUGUUGCUUAAUUCGAAGCAACUCGAAGAACCUUACCUGGGUUUGACAUG